GAUGAACGCUGGCGGCGUGCCUAAUACAUGCAAGUCGAGCGAACGGACGAGAAGCUUGCUUCUCUGAUGUUAGCGGCGGACGGGUGAGUAACACGUGGAUAACCUACCUAUAAGACUGGGAUAACUUCGGGAAACCGUAGCUAAUACCGGAUAAUAUUUUGAACCGCAUGGUUCAAAAGUGAAAGACGGUCUUGCUGUCACUUAUAGAUGGAUCCGCGCUGCAUUAGUUAGUUGGUAAGGUAACGGCUUACCAAGGCAACGAUGCAUAGCCGACCUGAGAGGGUGAUCGGCCAGCUGGGAACUGAGGGAGGGUCGCGACGCCGGCGGGAGGAAGCAGACGGGAAUCUUACGGGAUGGGGGAAUGCCUGACGGUGCAACGUCGCGGGAGUCAUGAACGAGCACGGACGGUAGAACGCUGUUAUUAGGGGAGAAGAAAAGUGUAAGUAACUGUGCUCAUCAUGACGGUACCUGAUCAGAAAGCCCCGGCUAACUACGUG
RNAcentral lists this ribosomal RNA (497 nucleotides) under uncultured bacterium. RNAcentral's name for it is "partial 16S ribosomal RNA". It matches the Rfam family "Bacterial small subunit ribosomal RNA", at positions 28 to 507 of the family's 1533-position model. The record is from RNAcentral.